AUUGAACGCUGGCGGCAUGCCUUACACAUGCAAGUCGAACGGUAACGGGCCUUCGGGUGCCGACGAGUGGCGAACGGGUGAGUAAUACAUCGGAACGUGCCCGAUCGUGGGGGAUAACGAGGCGAAAGCUUUGCUAAUACCGCAUACGAUCUACGGAUGAAAGCAGGGGACCGCAAGGCCUUGCGCGGACGGAGCGGCCGAUGGCAGAUUAGGUAGUUGGUGGGAUAAAAGCUUACCAAGCCGACGAGCUGUAGCUGGUCUGAGAGGAUGAUCAGCCACACUGGGACUGAGACACGGCCCAGACUCCUACGGGAGGCAGCAGUGGGGAAUUUUGGACAAUGGGCGCAAGCCUGAUCCAGCCAUGCCGCGUGCAGGAUGAAGGCCUUCGGGUUGUAAACUGCUUUUGUACGGAACGAAAAGCCUUCUUUUAAUACAGGAGGGUCAUGACGGUACCGUAAGAAUAAGCACCGGCUAACUACGUG
Molecule: ribosomal RNA, 482 nt
Filed under: uncultured bacterium
Lineage: Bacteria
Description: partial 16S ribosomal RNA
Rfam family: Bacterial small subunit ribosomal RNA
Source: RNAcentral